Molecule: ribosomal RNA, 256 nt
Filed under: uncultured bacterium
Lineage: Bacteria
Description: partial 16S ribosomal RNA
Rfam family: Bacterial small subunit ribosomal RNA
Source: RNAcentral
UAAUACGGAGGGUGCAAGCGUUAAUCGGAAUUACUGGGCGUAAAGGGUGCGUAGAUGGUUUAAUAAGUUAAGUGUGAAAGCCCCGGGCUUAACCUGGGAAAGUCACUUAAGACUGUUAGACUAGAGUAUGGGAGAGGGUAGUGGAAUUUCCGGUGUAGCGGUGAAAUGCGUAGAGAUCGGAAGGAACACCAGUGGCGAAGGCGGCUACCUGGCCCAAUACUGACGUUGAGGCACGAAAGCGUGGGGAGCAAACAGG